This 495-nucleotide ribosomal RNA is filed under the name Triticum aestivum (bread wheat). Its description in RNAcentral is "partial small subunit ribosomal RNA". Lineage: Eukaryota; Viridiplantae; Streptophyta; Magnoliopsida; Poales; Poaceae. The record is from RNAcentral.
AUGUUUGAGUAUCUAAAUGUUGUCAGCAAGAUGUUUGAUAGUGAGGCUGAAGGCUAUGAAUUCUACAACAAAUAUGCUCUUGAAAAAGGUUUUAGUGUGAGGAAAAGCUACGUUGAGUGGGAUGGAUCCAACAAAUACAUAAUUUUAAGGAAAAUUGUGUGUAGUCGUCAAGGGUUUCGCAAAGAGAAGCACAUGAAAAGAAAGAUGGAAGAUAGAAAAAGGAGGCCACGAAGUUUAACUCGUGUUGGGUGUAAUGCUAAAUUGGUCAUUACGAGACAGGAGGAAACCGGUCGGUGGUUUGUCAAGGAUUUCAUCGAUGAGCACAGCCAUCCUCUAGUCCCACGGGAUCUUUCUUGUCUGCUGCGUUCGCACAAACGAAUAGCGAUGAGCAGAAAGCGGACAUUGCGGACAUGGAAAAAUGUGGGAUCCGCAAAUACCGUAUUAUGGAUAUUUUGUGCUUUCAAUACGAUGGAUUUGAUAAGGUUGGAUGCAUAA